This 419-nucleotide long non-coding RNA is filed under the name Cricetulus griseus (Chinese hamster). RNAcentral's name for it is "lncRNA (ENSCGRG00015029559.1)". The record is from RNAcentral. Lineage: Eukaryota; Metazoa; Chordata; Mammalia; Rodentia; Cricetidae.
GCGGCCUGUCUGCAGUGUUUAUUUUGGUGUCUCUAGUCUUCCGCAGAGCCUCCCUCCUGGGUACUGUCGUUUCUAUCACAGUGGCCAGAUGGUCAGAACAAAUAAAAUCCAGUAUCAAAUGACUUCUGGGGGUUGGAGAGAUGGCUCAGUGGUUAAGAACACUAGCUGGUUUUAGAAUUCAAAUCCCAGCAACCACACGAUGGCUCACAACCAUCUGUAAUAAGAUCUGGUGCCCUCUUCUGGCCUACAGGGAUACAUGCAGACAGAACACUAUUCAUAGCAAGCUUCAAUAAAUCAAAAAUAAUAUAUCACUACCGAGGGGUCAAGAGGAAUUUAAGCCAGCCACCAAGAAGAGAAAUGCCAGCACCAGCCUAAGGGGAAAGAUGCCAGAACAGAGACAUUAAAGACCUAACAUGUAC